This 597-nucleotide ribosomal RNA is filed under the name Triticum aestivum (bread wheat). RNAcentral's name for it is "partial small subunit ribosomal RNA". The record is from RNAcentral. Lineage: Eukaryota; Viridiplantae; Streptophyta; Magnoliopsida; Poales; Poaceae.
AUGGCGGAAGAUGCUGGUAGUCGGAUUGAGGUGGCCAACCUCCUUUCCCUCGGCGAGGACCUCGUCGGGGUGCUCGUGGGCAUCAAGGACGGCGAAGCCCUUGCGCAGGCCUGCGACGGGGCACGGAUGCUGCGCUCCGCCUGCAGAUCCGAGUCCGGGGACCUCGAGCUCCAAAUCAAAGAGUAUCAGGAAAAAAUAAACUCCUUCAAGGAAAAGUUAGACAAGGCAAAAGCUGAAACAGUUACUGAUGAAGAACUGAACACGCUACAAAAUGAGAUGGAGGAGAAACUCCGGGGGGAGCAACAGCUUCGCCAAGACUUAAGAGCGGUGAGUGAUGAGCUUGAUAACCUAGACCGUCAAAGGACUUCUAUAGAAGAAAGGAAGGAUUCUGUCAAGAAGAAGGAGAAAGACAUGCUGAAGGCACAAAGUAUGCUCUCCAUGUGUGUGUCAGUUACAAAUAUGAUGCCAGAUUUCGAAGAUCAGGAGAAGAUUUCUGGAUAUAUUGUUGACAAGAACAGGAAGAAGCUAGAUAAGUUCGAAUUUGGGAAGACAAUGUCACCAGUUGAGAUCUGCGACAAGCUUUGGAAAAUGAUUUAG